GACGAACGCUGGCGGCGUGCUUAACACAUGCAAGUCGAACGAGAGCGUAGAGAAAGCUUGCUUUUUCUACAAUCUAGUGGCAAACGGGUGAGUAACGCGUAAACAACCUGCCCUACGGAUGGGGACAACAGCUGGAAACGGCUGCUAAUACCGAAUACGUUCCGAAAGUCGCAUGACUAUCGGAAGAAAGGAUGGCCUCUAUUUAUAAGCUAUCGCCGGAGGAGGGGUUUGCGUCUGAUUAGCUAGUUGGAGGGGUAACGGCCCACCAAGGCGACGAUCAGUAGCCGGUCUGAGAGGAUGAACGGCCACAUUGGAACUGAGACACGGUCCAGACUCCUACGGGAGGCAGCAGUGGGGAAUCUUCCGCAAUGGGCGAAAGCCUGACGGAGCAACGCCGCGUGAGUGAAGACGGCCUUCGGGUUGUAAAGCUCUGUUAUACGGGACGAAUAAUCUUGUGGUUAAUACCCAUGAGAAGUGACGGUACCGUAA
Molecule: ribosomal RNA, 489 nt
Filed under: Megasphaera micronuciformis
Lineage: Bacteria; Bacillati; Bacillota; Negativicutes; Veillonellales; Veillonellaceae
Description: bacterial SSU rRNA
Rfam family: Bacterial small subunit ribosomal RNA
Source: RNAcentral